Molecule: ribosomal RNA, 1369 nt
Filed under: uncultured bacterium
Lineage: Bacteria
Description: bacterial SSU rRNA
Rfam family: Bacterial small subunit ribosomal RNA
Source: RNAcentral
GACGAACGCUGGCGGCGUGCCUAAUACAUGCAAGUAGAACGCUGAAGAGAGGAGCUUGCUCUUCUUGGAUGAGUUGCGAACGGGUGAGUAACGCGUAGGUAACCUGCCUUGUAGCGGGGGAUAACUAUUGGAAACGAUAGCUAAUACCGCAUAACAAUGGAUGACACAUGUCAUUUAUUUGAAAGGGGCAAUUGCUCCACUACAAGAUGGACCUGCGUUGUAUUAGCUAGUAGGUGAGGUAAUGGCUCACCUAGGCGACGAUACAUAGCCGACCUGAGAGGGUGAUCGGCCACACUGGGACUGAGACACGGCCCAGACUCCUACGGGAGGCAGCAGUAGGGAAUCUUCGGCAAUGGGGGCAACCCUGACCGAGCAACGCCGCGUGAGUGAAGAAGGUUUUCGGAUCGUAAAGCUCUGUUGUAAGUCAAGAACGGGUGUGAGAGUGGAAAGUUCACACUGUGACGGUAGCUUACCAGAAAGGGACGGCUAACUACGUGCCAGCAGCCGCGGUAAUACGUAGGUCCCGAGCGUUGUCCGGAUUUAUUGGGCGUAAAGCGAGCGCAGGCGGUUUGAUAAGUCUGAAGUUAAAGGCUGUGGCUCAACCAUAGUUCGCUUUGGAAACUGCCAAACUUGAGUGCAGAAGGGGAGAGUGGAAUUCCAUGUGUAGCGGUGAAAUGCGUAGAUAUAUGGAGGAACACCGGUGGCGAAAGCGGCUCUCUGGUCUGUAACUGACGCUGAGGCUCGAAAGCGUGGGGAGCGAACAGGAUUAGAUACCCUGGUAGUCCACGCCGUAAACGAUGAGUGCUAGGUGUUGGAUCCUUUCCGGGAUUCAGUGCCGCAGCUAACGCAUUAAGCACUCCGCCUGGGGAGUACGACCGCAAGGUUGAAACUCAAAGGAAUUGACGGGGGCCCGCACAAGCGGUGGAGCAUGUGGUUCAAUUCGAAGCAACGCGAAGAACCUUACCAGGUCUUGACAUCCCGAUGCUAUUUCUAGAGAUAGAAAGUUACUUCGGUACAUCGGUGACAGGUGGUGCAUGGUUGUCGUCAGCUCGUGUCGUGAGAUGUUGGGUUAAGUCCCGCAACGAGCGCAACCCCUAUUGUUAGUUGCCAUCAUUCAGUUGGGCACUCUAGCGAGACUGCCGGUAAUAAACCGGAGGAAGGUGGGGAUGACGUCAAAUCAUCAUGCCCCUUAUGACCUGGGCUACACACGUGCUACAAUGGUUGGUACAACGAGUUGCGAGUCGGUGACGGCGAGCUAAUCUCUUAAAGCCAAUCUCAGUUCGGAUUGUAGGCUGCAACUCGCCUACAUGAAGUCGGAAUCGCUAGUAAUCGCGGAUCAGCACGCCGCGGUGAAUACGUUCCCGGGCCU